AAGAUCUCUUCAGAAAGGGAGGAGAGGAUGGCUUUGAGAUCAGAUCUCGAAGCCUAGGAAGGAGCCUACAUGCCACACCACAAGGGGAGGGAGGAUGCCAAGAGGAGAGAGACACCCAAGAGAAGAGGGGACGCCCAAGUGAGGUAGUCUCCAUGCCCAAGCCCUUGCUCAUGCCUAGAUUUAUUUUCUUCUUCUCCAAAUCCCUCCUUAAAUAGACAAGAGAUCCUAGAUCAAAUCAAAUAUCUUCAUGCAUUAGGAAUAGGAUCCUCUA
This 271-nucleotide long non-coding RNA is filed under the name Elaeis guineensis (African oil palm). RNAcentral's name for it is "long non-coding RNA (EGUI_LNC053134)". Lineage: Eukaryota; Viridiplantae; Streptophyta; Magnoliopsida; Arecales; Arecaceae. The record is from RNAcentral.